AUAGUUCAGUGCAGGUCUGCAGGAAGGGCCUGCCUCCACUCAUGCAGGUACCUGGGAUCACCUGUCCAUUGGCUACACUGCCCUUUAGGGCCUCCAAAUCCCCAGCUGAAUUAUUCCCAUCCAUCUAGUAGGAAAGGAAAAAAGAAUGUUGAAGGAUCAUGCAAAAUGUUUUAGGGGCCAGUCCUGGACGUAAAAUAUGUUACAUUGGCUAGAAUGCUGUUACACAUUGCCACCUAUUUCAAGAGAUGCUGAGAUUUGGAGUCUUCUUGGGUGCCCAGAGAUUUGAGUAUCACCUAGCACUGUUUCUGCUUCAGAAAAAAUAUCCCUUGACAUUGGCUGUGAUACCUACCAACCUGAAAAAAUAUCCCUUGACAUUGGCUGUGAUACCUACCAAGCUCACAGGAAAUGGAAGUAGAACUCUGAAGCUAAAUCAGAGGACUCCAAGCAAAUGAAGUGACUGAAAGCAAGAAUGGCUCAUUGCCCUUGAGCUACACAGAAAUGUAUAGGUGGGUGUAUUGGGUCGGUUCCCUGGAAGCACAACCUCAGAUGGGGAUUCUUGUGCAAAAGAUACACGGAGGAAGAGCUCAAGGAAGUAACUUGCAAUGAAGCAAGGGGAGCAAGCUGGAGCAGGAGAAAAGAUCAGGCAAAGGCAUGCUUUCAGAAGUCUAGCCUCGGCCUCAUCCACAGGGAGCUCCAGAGAGUGAAUGGUACCAUGCAGCUGGUCAACCUUCUUGGAGGAGGGAGCUGCUGAUAGCCUUCAGUAGACAGCACUUGCACUAGCCAAGGGAUGAGUGCACCAGCCCAGUGGAGGGGAUCUGGGUAGAGCACCUAUGCCAUCUGCUAUAAUAGGAAGGACAUGCUUUUCCUUUUCGUAUCCUCUACCUGAAGCAAUAUAUCACGUACUCAGCAGACGCUCAAUAAGUGUUUGAGAAAUGAAGAAACAAAAAGACAGAGGGAAGGAGAGAAGAAAAGAAACAAGAUUACAGAAAAUUCUAAAAUACUCUUGGGCUCCAAGAAAUGCAUCUUCAAAUAAGGAACUUCACAUACUUAUGCUGAGCAAUGAGAGAGAUAUUUUGAGAAACCUGAAAAAAUAAGAGAACUUUGAGUUUUCAGUGCUCUGGAAAUGGCAAAAAGGUAGGAUAUUUUAGUCAUGCAUUGGAAAUUAAAAGAUUGCCUCCCAUC
This 1182-nucleotide long non-coding RNA is filed under the name Homo sapiens (human). RNAcentral describes it as "novel transcript". The record is from RNAcentral. Lineage: Eukaryota; Metazoa; Chordata; Mammalia; Primates; Hominidae.